GACGAACCGAGCGAACGUUGUUCGGAAUCACUGGGCUUAAAGGGCGCGUAGGCGGGUGCUCAAGGCCGGGGUGAAAUCCUCCAGCUCAACUGGGGAACUGCCUCGGAUACUGGGCGUCUCGAGUGUGGUAGGGGUAUGCGGAACUAUCGGUGGAGCGGUGAAAUGCGUUGAUAUCGAUAGGAACUCCGGUGGCGAAGGCAGCUCGCUGGGACGGUACUGACGCUGAGGCGCGAAAGCUAGGGGAGCAAACAGG
Molecule: ribosomal RNA, 253 nt
Filed under: uncultured bacterium
Lineage: Bacteria
Description: partial 16S ribosomal RNA
Rfam family: Bacterial small subunit ribosomal RNA
Source: RNAcentral